CAUUACCGAGUUUACAACUCCCAAACCCCUGUGAACAUACCACUUGUUGCCUCGGCGGAUCAGCCCGCUCCCGGUAAAACGGGACGGCCCGCCAGAGGACCCCUAAACUCUGUUUCUAUAUGUAACUUCUGAGUAAAACCAUAAAUAAAUCAAAACUUUCAACAACGGAUCUCUUGGUUCUGGCAUCGAUGAAGAACGCAGCAAAAUGCGAUAAGUAAUGUGAAUUGCAGAAUUCAGUGAAUCAUCGAAUCUUUGAACGCACAUUGCGCCCGCCAGUAUUCUGGCGGGCAUGCCUGUUCGAGCGUCAUUUCAACCCUCAAGCACAGCUUGGUGUUGGGACUCGCGUUAAUUCGCGUUCCCCAAAUUGAUUGGCGGUCACGUCGAGCUUCCAUAGCGUAGUAGUAAAACCCUCGUUACUGGUAAUCGUCGCGGCCACGCCGUUAAACCCCAACUUCUGAAUGUUGACCUCGGAUCAGGUAGGAAUACCCGCUGAACUUAAGCAUAUCAA
This 508-nucleotide ribosomal RNA is filed under the name Fusarium cf. oxysporum CLCTD04-11-M4. RNAcentral's name for it is "eukaryotic LSU rRNA". The stretch from base 154 to 307 matches the Rfam family "5.8S ribosomal RNA". Lineage: Eukaryota; Fungi; Ascomycota; Sordariomycetes; Hypocreales; Nectriaceae. The record is from RNAcentral.